GUAGACAUAGUUUAGUUAAAAUUUUAGUUUGUGGUUCUAAAGAUAGGGGUUAAACCCCCCUUGUCCACC
This 69-nucleotide transfer RNA is filed under the name Ostorhinchus fleurieu (flower cardinalfish). RNAcentral's name for it is "tRNA-His". It matches the Rfam family "tRNA". Rfam says of the family: Transfer RNA (tRNA) molecules are approximately 80 nucleotides in length. Their secondary structure includes four short double-helical elements and three loops (D, anti-codon, and T loops). The record is from RNAcentral. Lineage: Eukaryota; Metazoa; Chordata; Actinopteri; Kurtiformes; Apogonidae.